This 253-nucleotide ribosomal RNA is filed under the name uncultured bacterium. RNAcentral describes it as "partial 16S ribosomal RNA". It matches the Rfam family "Bacterial small subunit ribosomal RNA", at positions 524 to 776 of the family's 1533-position model. The record is from RNAcentral.
UACGGGGGGGGCAAGCGUUGUUCGGAAUUACUGGGCGUAAAGGGCGCGUAGGCGGCCAACUAAGUCAGACGUGAAAUCCCUCGGCUCAACCGGGGAACUGCGUCUGAUACUGGAUGGCUUGAAUUCGGGAGAGGGAUGCGGAAUUCCAGGUGUAGCGGUGAAAUGCGUAGAUAUCAGGAGGAACACCGGUGGUGUAGACGGCUUUCUGGACCGUAACUGACGCUGAGACACGAAAGCGUGGGUAGCAAACAGG